Molecule: ribosomal RNA, 338 nt
Filed under: uncultured soil bacterium
Lineage: Bacteria
Description: bacterial SSU rRNA
Rfam family: Bacterial small subunit ribosomal RNA
Source: RNAcentral
AGGACGAACGCUGGCGGCGUGCUUAACACAUGCAAGUCGAGCGGUAAGGCCUUUCGGGGUACACGAGCGGCGAACGGGUGAGUAACACGUGGGUGAUCUGCCCUGCACUCUGGGAUAAGCCUGGGAAACUGGGUCUAAUACCGGAUAUGACCUGCUCUCGCAUGGGGGUGGGUGGAAAGAUUUAUCGGUGCAGGAUGGGCCCGCGGCCUAUCAGCUUGUUGGUGGGGUAAUGGCCUACCAAGGCGACGACGGGUAGCCGACCUGAGAGGGUGACCGGCCACACUGGGACUGAGACACGGCCCAGACUCCGUACGGGAGGCAGCAGGUGGGGAAUAUUG